This 771-nucleotide long non-coding RNA is filed under the name Homo sapiens (human). RNAcentral's name for it is "non-protein coding lnc-SCAF8-6:1". Lineage: Eukaryota; Metazoa; Chordata; Mammalia; Primates; Hominidae. The record is from RNAcentral.
AUGGCUCGUGGUCCCAAGAAGCAUCUGAAGCUGGUAGCAGCUCCAAAGCACUGGAUGCUGGAUAAAUUGACUGGUGUGUUUGCUCCUCAUCCAUUCACUGGUCCCCACAAGUUGAGAGAGUCUCUCCCCAUCAUCAUUUUCCUAAGGAUCAGACUUAAAUAUGCCCUGACAGGAGAUGAAGUAAAGAAGAUUUGCAUGCAGCAGUUCAUUAAGAUCGAUGGCAAGGUUUGAACUGAUACAACCUACCCUGCUGGAUUCAUGGAUGUCAUCAGCAUUGACAAGAGAGAAUUUCCGUCUGAUCUAUGACACCAAGGAUCGCUUUGCUGUACAUUGUAUUACACCUGAGGAGGCCAAGUACAAGUUGUGCAAACUGAGAAAAAUCUUUGUGGGCACAAAAGGAAUCCCUCACCUGGUGACUCAUGAUGCUUGCACCGUCCGCUACCCUGACCCCUCAUCGAGGUGAAUGAUACCAUUCAGAUUGAUUUGGAGACUGGCAAGAGUAUUGAUUUCAUCGAGUUCGACACUGGUGACUAGAGGUACUAACCUGGGAAGAAUUGGUGUGAUCAUCAACUGAGAGAAGCACCCUGGAUCUUUUGACGUAGUUUAUGUUAAAGAUGCCAAUGGCAACAGCUUUGCCACUCGACUUUUCAACAUUUUUGUUAUUGGCAAGAGCAAUAAACCAUGGAUUUCUCUUUCCCAAGGACAGGAUAUCCGCCUCACCAUCGCUGAAGAGAGAGACAAAGACUGGCGGCCAAACCAAGCAGUGGGUGA